GAUCUUCUUCGAUUUCGGUCAACCUCCUGUGCGAUAAAUUCUUCCGAGCAAUCAUCCCAGGUUGAACGGACUGCAUGGUGCCAGGCGCGGAUCUUGGCGGCGUUCGGUCGGUCGGUCGGGGUGGACCGAUCGGAAUGGGGGAUCAGAGCUCUGGAUCGGUCCCGGAAGAGUUUAUCGAGUUUUCUGCUGGAGCAGAGCUCGAAUCGGGCGAUCGAAGCCGGAUCGGAAUCGAGAACCGUUCUUCCGACUACGGAGACGGAGAUCGCCAUCGAUCUUGGCGGCGUUCGGUCGGUCGAGACCGAUAGAUCGGAGCGGAGGAUUCGAGGUCCGGAUCGAUCCCGGAGGUUUUGUCGAGCAUCUUGCCGGAGCAGAGCUCGAAUCGGGCGAUCGAGGUCCGAUCAGAGUCGUGAACAGUUAGUUCAUCCGACUACGAAGAUGAAUCUCUGAAACCAGAUCGAUCGAUGUGAAAGAGGGGAGAUUCCUGUUGUCUCCUUCUUCUUCCCUCGGUCGUUUCUCUGAAUCUCCUUCUUCUGUCCGCAGGAAAGGCGGAGCUCCAGAGGAGCAUCUCCAAUGUCAGGGAGACCUUGAGCGAUCAUCUCGGCGAUGUCGUGGAGGUCUGCGCAGAGGUCGGUUCCUCAUUACUCGAUGUAGGCUGGGCGGGAUCGCCCUCGUCCUUGGGAUCCCUCUUUUAGGGUUUUUCUUCACCAUCUUCCUCCUCUCCGCCAUUCUUGGAUCUCCAAGGACGGCGCGGGCGCCUUCUUCCACAACCUGCUGCAGAUGUGCCAUUCGAGAUUCUAACCCCAAUACAGGAGACAGAAAAAAAGUUUCAGUCCGAGCGAUCGCAGCAACCACUGCGAGAACCGAGCACGGAAUCAGAGAUGACAG
This 885-nucleotide long non-coding RNA is filed under the name Spirodela polyrhiza (greater duckweed). Its description in RNAcentral is "long non-coding RNA (SPOL_LNC001638)". The record is from RNAcentral. Lineage: Eukaryota; Viridiplantae; Streptophyta; Magnoliopsida; Alismatales; Araceae.